UGGGGAAUAUUGCACAAUGGGCGAAAGCCUGAUGCAGCAACGCCGCGUGAGUGAUGAAGGCCUUCGGGUUGUAAAGCUCUGUCUUUUGGGACGAUAAUGACGGUACCAAAGGAGGAAGCCACGGCUAACUACGUGCCAGCAGCCGCGGUAAUACGUAGGUGGCAAGCGUUGUCCGGAUUUACUGGGCGUAAAGGAUGCGUAGGCGGAUUUUUAAGUGAGAUGUGAAAUACCCGGGCUUAACUUGGGUGCUGCAUUUCAAACUGGGAAUCUAGAGUGCGGGAGAGGAGAAUGGAAUUCCUAGUGUAGCGGUGAAAUGCGUAGAGAUUAGGAAGAACACCAGUGGCGAAGGCGAUUCUCUGGACCGUAACUGACGCUGAGGCAUGAAAGCGUGGGUAGCAAACAGGAUUAGAUACCCUGGUAGUCCACGCCGUAAACGAUGAGUACUAGGUGUAGGAGGUAUCGACCCCUUCUGUGCCGCAGUUAACACAAUCAAGUACUCCGCCUGGG
RNAcentral lists this ribosomal RNA (507 nucleotides) under uncultured bacterium. RNAcentral describes it as "partial 16S ribosomal RNA". It matches the Rfam family "Bacterial small subunit ribosomal RNA", at positions 355 to 877 of the family's 1533-position model. The record is from RNAcentral.